ACAUGAAUAAUGGAUCAUCUAAGGUAUGCAUUUAGAUAUGCAAUGCAGCCACUCCCUUAUAUUGGUAUCCCCAUGCCUUUAGUUUGGUCUUGUUGCUGUUUGUUGCAAAUUAGUCAUUUAGUUGCUUCUACGCGGCUAUCUGAUGAAUAGUAAUAGCAAACAAGUGAUUCUCAUUAUCUCACAUAAUCAUACGCCAUGUCAGCACUAACAGAUAAUACUAAUAGGUUGAGGGACCUUAAAUCAGAGCUUGAGCCUGUAAUAGUUACACUGACGUCCCCUUGCACUUGGCUACUUGACCUUGUAGCCUGUAAGACACCACUCUGUAAGGUUGGUGGAUAAGCAAGUUGCUUUUGUAACCGAUUCUUCAUGAAAUCUUUGGUUGACUAAUUUUUAAUGUUUGUGGAGUAUGUUUACGAGACUAUAUGAUAUAUUUUAUUCCGUGCUUUGUUUUUUUUGUAUAGUUUUUAUUCCAUACUUCUGUUAAGAUUAUGUUUGCAAGUUAGAAUUUACA
RNAcentral lists this unclassified non-coding RNA (511 nucleotides) under Hevea brasiliensis (rubber tree). Lineage: Eukaryota; Viridiplantae; Streptophyta; Magnoliopsida; Malpighiales; Euphorbiaceae. The record is from RNAcentral.